Lactobacillus acetotolerans is the source of this 115-nucleotide regulatory RNA element. It matches the Rfam family "FMN riboswitch aptamer (RFN element)". Rfam says of the family: The RFN element is a highly conserved domain that is found frequently in the 5'-untranslated regions of prokaryotic mRNAs that encode for flavin mononucleotide (FMN) biosynthesis and transport proteins. This element is a metabolite-dependent riboswitch that directly binds FMN in the absence of proteins. Lineage: Bacteria; Bacillati; Bacillota; Bacilli; Lactobacillales; Lactobacillaceae. The record is from Rfam.
UGUUGUCUUCAUGGCAGGGUGUAAGUCCCGACCGGUGGUGAAAGUCCGCGACCCACGAAAGUGGCUGAAUCGAUUACGAUACCGAUAGUUAAAGUCUAGAUGAAAGAAGACAGAC